Small nucleolar RNA from Anarrhichthys ocellatus (wolf-eel), 138 nucleotides. RefSeq annotates it as small nucleolar RNA SNORA47. The transcript has a single exon. Lineage: Eukaryota; Metazoa; Chordata; Actinopteri; Perciformes; Anarhichadidae. The record is from RefSeq and is a predicted model, not a curated record.
UGGAGGACUGAGAAGGUUGAGCAGCUUGUGCUGUGCUGUUAUAACUGGUUAUAACCUCCUAGAAUAACACACAAACCACUCUUAUCACGUGGCUCUGUCUCAAGCAGAGCUCAUCUGUAGUGUGUUUGUUAACAAAAU